CGGACGGGUGAGUAACACGUGGAUAACCUACCUAUAAGACUGGGAUAACUUGGGAAACCGGAGCUAAUACCGGAUAAUAUAUUGAACCGCAUGGUUCAAUAGUGAAAGACGGUUUUGCUGUCACUUAUAGAUGGAUCCGCGCCGCAUUAGCUAGUUGGUAAGGUAACGGCUUACCAAGGCGACGAUGCGUAGCCGACCUGAGAGGGUGAUCGGCCACACUGGAACUGAGACACGGUCCAG
Molecule: ribosomal RNA, 240 nt
Filed under: uncultured Staphylococcus sp.
Lineage: Bacteria; Bacillati; Bacillota; Bacilli; Caryophanales; Staphylococcaceae
Description: partial 16S ribosomal RNA
Rfam family: Bacterial small subunit ribosomal RNA
Source: RNAcentral